This 896-nucleotide ribosomal RNA is filed under the name uncultured eukaryote. RNAcentral describes it as "SSU rRNA". It matches the Rfam family "Eukaryotic small subunit ribosomal RNA", at positions 142 to 1043 of the family's 1831-position model. The record is from RNAcentral.
GAUAACUGAGGUAAUUCUUGAGCUAAUACAUGCGAAAAAUCCCGACUCACGAAGGGAUGCUUUUAUUAGAUCAAAACCAAACAGCUUCGGCUGUAACACUGGUGACUCUGAAUAACUUUGGGCUGAUCGCAUUGCCUUGAGCAGGCGACAUUUCCUUCGAAGGUGUGCCCUAUCAACUGUCGACUGUGAUAUAGACGCUCACAGUGGUUUUGACGGGUAACGGGGAAUCAGGGUUCGAUUCCGGAGAGGGAGCCUUAAAAACGGCUACCACAUCCAAGGAAGGCAGCAGGCACGCAAAUUACCCAAUGAACGAAGUUCGAGGUAGUGACGAAAAAUAACAAUACAAGACUCAUCCGAGGCCUUGUAAUUGGAAUGAGUACACUUUAAAACCGUUUCACGAGGAUCUAUUGGAGGGCAAGUCUGGUGCCAGCAGCCGCGGUAAUUCCAGCUCCAAUAGCGUAUAUUAAAGUUGUUGUGGUUAAAAAGCUCGUAGUUGGAUUUCGGCGGGUAUUGGUUGGUUUGAAUUGCUUCAACACUGACUUUUUUACCCGUGUGUUUUGCCAGAAUUUAGCGGGUGAUCUUCGCCGAUUGUCCGUUGGAACUGGUAGGUUUACUUUGAAAAAAUUAGAGUGCUCAAAGCAAGCUUACUACUUGAAUAGUUGCGCAUGGAAUAAUAGAAUAGGAAGUCGUUUCUAUUUUGUUGGUUUUCGGAAAUCGACUUAAUGAUUAAUAGGGAUAGUCGGGGGCAUUCGUAUUCAAACGACAGAGGUGAAAUUCUUGGACCGUUUGAAGACGACUACGCGAAAGCAUUUGCCAAGAAUGUUUUCAUUAAUCANAACGAAAGUUAGAGGUUCGAAGCGAUUAGAUACCGCCCUANUUCUAACCAUAACGAUGCA